CUCAUUUGAAUUCCACCCGCUGUCCUCCCGUCGUCUUAUCCAUUUCUCCUGCGACAGCGACGGCGGCUUCGCCCAUUCCGUCGUGCGCCGGCGACGGCCGCCGCCGUGCCUCGGGCGGGAGCACGGAGGGAGCUCGCCGGGAGGAUGGAGGACGGCGCGGCGAAGCGGGGCAGUGGUGGUGGCGUGUGCGGCGGAGACGGCGCGCAAGGCCGGGCGGUGGCGGUGAUUGACCGGCCGUCGUGCCUCGCGCGGGAGGAUGGACGACGCUCGCCGGGGCGUGUGCGGCGCAGGCGGCUUCUGCCGCACGUUGAGGUGGAGCAGCAGAGGACGGGAAGGCAAGAAGGCAGGGUGGGUACGCUGUGCACCAGGGCCGCCUUCGUCCUCCACCUCCUCCAAAAGCGCGCGCUCGCCGCGGGCGCUGGCGGUGGCACGGCGGUCCUCGCCCUUGGUGCGCGGGUGCGCGGAUGCGUUGGGGAUCGAGGGAGCUCUCCUCCCUCGCGGCUGGAGGCGCUCGGGAUCGAGCGAGUGGGCGAGGGGAUCGGGGCCCCUGGUGGUUGCCUGCUUGGCGAUUGCACGCGAUGCUGGGCUGGCCGACUCGAUCUCCUCGACCCAGGGCCCCGUGCUCGUCAGCGCCUGCCCCAUCGCGCAUGACUUCUCUGAUCCAGCGCGCAGCGAGGGCGCGGCCGCUGCCAGUCUCGCCGCCGCCCUGUCACGGAUCGCCACGCCCAUCUCCUCUGAUCUGAACACCUCUCCUACAUCCCCUGUUGCGAUCAUCCCUUGCUUAACGAGAAAAAAAUCCAAUGCCUACACACCUGUAUUCUCCCUCUCAAACUAUACAGUUCCUACAAGCCAUGGCGACAUUCACCUACAACUAUUCGGACAAGGACGGGGAGGAGUGGACCAUGGCUGCACCGAGGUCCACCCACUAGCGGCCUGCCACCGUGGCUGCAACGAGGAUUCCCUCACCAAGCCUCACCGGCGUUCCGGAUCACCAAUGUACUUCUACUUAUUUGUCUCUACAAGAUUGCUGCUUGAUUAUAUCUCAUUGAGACCUGAAUCAUCUUCCAUGGUUAUUCAACACUGAAGCUGCUUGAUUGAUCCACAAUAGAUCUUGACUUCGGCGGAAACUGAGGUUCUGUACACACUAUUUUCAGAAGCUUGUGUGGCAGCAACAAUAUUUGUGCCACGACAUGUAGUCGAAACAGAGGGAAAAACUUUGUAGAGAUCGAAGUUUCACUGUUACAAACACAAUAAAGGUUUCAUGGUGGCAGUGCCUUCUUCUACAUGAUGGGAAUUCGACGGCAUUUUGUUGUUUUGUUGUUAAAUACCAACUGGGCAUGUCGUUUAUUCACAGAUCAAGUAAUAUGACCAUCUCUUGCAGACAAAACGCUCGGGGAAAGUCCCAGCCGUGCACCUGUGAUCGCUGGAACGGCAUACUGUUUUAGGAAUGCAAUACAGACUGGUCAGGAGGUUUGUGUCUAUAGGAUGGAAUUACAUGAUAUGUCAAAAUGGUGGUCUUUAUUAUGCAAUUUAACUGAUCUCUUGUUGAACCCCUCCUUUUCCAGAAAAAACUAUUAUUUAAUCUUUGAAGUUUAA
Molecule: RNA transcript, 1596 nt
Organism: Triticum aestivum (bread wheat)
Lineage: Eukaryota; Viridiplantae; Streptophyta; Magnoliopsida; Poales; Poaceae
Exons: 4
Source: RefSeq, a predicted model, not a curated record